UAUAGUAUGAAGUCGCAUAUCUAAGGAUAAAUAUCGAAUAGGAUGAACAUCGCGUGAUAGCGAUGAACAAUAAAAACCCAAUUGCAGAUCUAUCCAAGAUUCAAGAUGGAUUCAUGAAACAAUGGUGUUCUUGAAAACAGUCUAUAAAUGGCGUGGACAUCAAACAAAGAAUUAGUUUUUUUUAUCAACCUCAAAGAAUGGAAACAGUCUAACAAACGCCGGUGCUUAUAUGGUUCGUAGUACCUGAUGGCGAUGACAAACAAUCAAAUGAUGUCACUCAAAAAAUCGGCUUGCUGUGACAUGUCUAUUUGGGCUUGCCUUUAAUUUUACUAUAAACAUGUUCAGAUACAACGUAUGGGGUGCAUCUUUAAUUGGUCAUCAUGCCUAUUACCUUUAUUCUACGGUGUCAA
RNAcentral lists this long non-coding RNA (410 nucleotides) under Helianthus annuus (common sunflower). RNAcentral describes it as "hypothetical non coding rna". Lineage: Eukaryota; Viridiplantae; Streptophyta; Magnoliopsida; Asterales; Asteraceae. The record is from RNAcentral.